CCUGAUCCAGCAAUGCCGCGUGAGUGAAGAAGGCCUUCGGGUUGUAAAGCUCUUUUGUCAGGGAAGAAACGGCGAGCUCUAAUACAGUUUGCUAAUGACGGUACCUGAAGAAUAAGCACCGGCUAACUACGUGCCAGCAGCCGCGGUAAUACGUAGGGUGCAAGCGUUAAUCGGAAUUACUGGGCGUAAAGCGUGCGCAGGCGGUUUUGUAAGUUUGUCGUGAAAUCCCCGGGCUCAACCUGGGAAUGGCGAUGAAGACUGCAAGGCUAGAGUUUGGCAGAGGGGGGUAGAAUUCCACGUGUAGCAGUGAAAUGCGUAGAUAUGUGGAGGAACACCGAUGGCGAAGGCAGCCCCCUGGGUCAAAACUGACGCUCAUGCACGAAAGCGUGGGGAGCAAACAGGAUUAGAUACCCUGGUAGUCCACGCCCUAAACGAUGUCUACUAGUUGUCGGGUCUUAAUUGACUUGGUAACGCAGCUAACGCGUGAAGUAGACCGCCUGGGGAGUACGGUCGCAAGAUUAAAACUCAAAGGAAUUGACGGGGACCCGCACAAGCGGUGGAUGAUGUGGAUUAAUUCGAUGCAACGCGAAAAACCUUACCUACCCUUGACAUGGAUGGAAUCCCUGAGAGAUUGA
Molecule: ribosomal RNA, 635 nt
Filed under: Oxalobacteraceae bacterium Se2Ps_2283
Lineage: Bacteria; Pseudomonadati; Pseudomonadota; Betaproteobacteria; Burkholderiales; Oxalobacteraceae
Description: bacterial SSU rRNA
Rfam family: Bacterial small subunit ribosomal RNA
Source: RNAcentral